UGGGGAAUAUUGCACAAUGGGGGAAACCCUGAUGCAGCGACGCCGCGUGAGCGAAGAAGGUUUUCGAAUCGUAAAGCUCUGUCCUAUGAGAAGAUAAUGACGGUAUCAUAGGAGGAAGCCCCGGCUAAAUACGUGCCAGCAGCCGCGGUAAUACGUAUGGGGCGAGCGUUGUCCGGAAUUAGUGGGCGUAAAGGGUACGUAGGCGGUCUAUUAAGUCAGGUGUGAAAGCGUGAGGCUUAACCUCAUUAAGCACUUGAAACUGAUAGACUUGAGUGAAGGAGAGGAAAGUGGAAUUCCUAGUGUAGCUGUGAAAUGCGUAGAUAUUAGGAGGAAUACCGGUGGCGAAGGCGACUUUCUGGACUUUUACUGACGCUCAGGUACGAAAGCGUGGGGAGCAAACAGG
This 403-nucleotide ribosomal RNA is filed under the name Verrucomicrobiota bacterium. RNAcentral's name for it is "Verrucomicrobia bacterium partial 16S ribosomal RNA". It matches the Rfam family "Bacterial small subunit ribosomal RNA", at positions 355 to 776 of the family's 1533-position model. Lineage: Bacteria; Pseudomonadati; Verrucomicrobiota. The record is from RNAcentral.